UGCUCUUCUCUUCAUCUUCAAUUCCAUCUCCUCUCAUCGCCGAUGGUGCACUGUUUCUCUGGUGGCAUUCUAUAGCUCCAAUGUGGUAAGCUCUUUAUUUUUAAUUAAAGGUGGGUCAAACCAAUAAAUAAAAUGAAAAUCGGUAUAUAUGUACAAGCAUGGGCCAGAUCCAAAAGUAAGCAACCCAAAGGAAUAAAAAUCCAUAAAACCAAUUGAAAAAAAACAACAAAAAGCAAAUAAUAAGGUAAAAAGACAAAGAAAAGGCCAAGGUCACUAAAGAGACUCAUUUUAGAAAUAUCUAUCAUUUUCUCAAAGCCUCUUUAUUUCUAGAUUGCGUCGAUCUCUCUUCUUCUUCCAAUGUGUCAAUCUUGUCUCUUCUGAUCUCUAAUAAUGAAAAUCUUGAUCUCGGAGCUAAGCUUCCACAAUUUUUGUUCCUGUGUUCAAUUUCAGUACUAUCUGAAGCUCUCAUCGUCCUCAUUCUUUCAACAUACCUUGGAGAUGCAGAUCCAUGCUCCUAUUGUCUAGAUCCCAGUAUCUUCUUGACCCUCAAGAUCUGUUUCUCCGACCGUCAUUCGAACAGGUUAUAUAAAGGUGAUUAUUCAACAAGGAAAGUGUAUGAGGGAGGAACAAAGGAGAUUGCUCUUUCUGUUGUUAGCGGAAUCUCCUACAAUUGAAAAUUAAGCUCGUGAGUUUAUAGGGAAGAAUAACAAAACAACUCUUUCUGCUAGUGUGAAUUUUGUUGAUCUGGCUGGAAGUGAACGUGCAUCUCAGGCGCUGUCAAUUGGAAAGAGACUGAAAGAAGGAUGUCAUAUUAAUCGUAGUUUGUUGACUUUAGGAACAGUUAUUCACAAGCUAAGGUUGAUUGUUUGUUUCUUACAUCAUCUUUCUAAAACAUCUGGAUUUGCUGCAGCUUAGCUACAUGUCUAAAUGGUCUUUAAACAUCAAUUCAGUUUUACUGUCCAUAUAACAAAUUGGGGAUUUUUUUUCUUUUUCAUUCGUCUAAUUAGUAAAAAUAAACUUUAUGGUGUUGAAUAGUGUUGCUAUGUGAAUUGUGUUUAUGUUUAACAGUA
Molecule: long non-coding RNA, 1070 nt
Organism: Capsicum annuum
Lineage: Eukaryota; Viridiplantae; Streptophyta; Magnoliopsida; Solanales; Solanaceae
Exons: 4
Source: RefSeq, a predicted model, not a curated record